Molecule: ribosomal RNA, 492 nt
Filed under: uncultured bacterium
Lineage: Bacteria
Description: partial 16S ribosomal RNA
Rfam family: Bacterial small subunit ribosomal RNA
Source: RNAcentral
AGUGAACGCUGGCGGUAGGCCUAACACAUGCAAGUCGAACGGCAGCACAGUAAGAGCUUGCUCUUACGGGUGGCGAGUGGCGGACGGGUGAGGAAUACAUCGGAAUCUACUUUUUCGUGGGGGAUAACGUAGGGAAACUUACGCUAAUACCGCAUACGACCUACGGGUGAAAGCAGGGGAUCUUCGGACCUUGCGCGAUUCAAUGAGCCGAUGUCGGAUUAGCUAGUUGGCGGGGUAAAGGCCCACCAAGGCGACGAUCCGUAGCUGGUCUGAGAGGAUGAUCAGCCACACUGGAACUGAGACACGGUCCAGACUCCUACGGGAGGCAGCAGUAGGGAAUAUUGGACAAUGGGCGCAAGCCUGAUCCAGCCACACCGCGUGGGUGAAGAAGGCCUUCGGGUUGUAAAGCCCUUUUGUUGGGAAAGAAAAGCAGCAGGUUAAUACCCCGCUGUUCUGACGGUACCCAAAGAAUAAGCCCCGGCUAACUUCGUG